RNAcentral lists this transfer RNA (64 nucleotides) under Agonita chinensis. Its description in RNAcentral is "tRNA-Met". Lineage: Eukaryota; Metazoa; Arthropoda; Insecta; Coleoptera; Chrysomelidae. The record is from RNAcentral.
AAAAAGAUAAGCUAAAUUAAGCUACUGGGUUCAUACCCCAUUUAUGAUAUAAAAUCUCUUUUUA